Molecule: non-coding RNA, 96 nt
Filed under: bovine gut metagenome
Description: SAM riboswitch (S box leader)
Rfam family: SAM riboswitch aptamer (S box leader)
About the family: The SAM riboswitch is found upstream of a number of genes which code for proteins involved in methionine or cysteine biosynthesis in Gram-positive bacteria. The SAM riboswitch acts at the level of transcription termination control. The predicted structure consists of a complex stem-loop region followed by a single stem loop terminator region.
Source: RNAcentral
UUUAUCAAGAGUGACGGAGGGAACAGACCCUGAGAAGUCCGACAACCUGCUUGAGAAAGUAAGGUGCCAAAUUCUGCGGUAUAACCGAAAGAUGAG